GGGGGACAGGCUCGAUUGGGAGAGCGCCGGACUCCAAACCCGGUAUUGCUCGGUUCGAUUCCGAGGUCCCCUGCCA
Molecule: transfer RNA, 76 nt
Filed under: Candidatus Sulfopaludibacter sp. SbA4
Lineage: Bacteria; Pseudomonadati; Acidobacteriota; Terriglobia; Bryobacterales; Solibacteraceae
Description: tRNA-Trp
Rfam family: tRNA
About the family: Transfer RNA (tRNA) molecules are approximately 80 nucleotides in length. Their secondary structure includes four short double-helical elements and three loops (D, anti-codon, and T loops).
Source: RNAcentral